CUAUCCUGAAGCGGUCGAGGUUCUUCGCGUCGCCCCGUGCGCCGCGAAGCUAAGACGGGAAGCCGGUGGAAAGCCGGCGCUGCCCCCGCAACUGUAAGCGGUGAGCGGCGGUCGAAAAGCGUCACUGGUCCGCAAGGGGCCGGGAAGGCCAGGCCGCCGCGGCGAUCCGCGAGCCAGGAGACCUGCCUCGUCAGAUACGUCCUC
This 204-nucleotide non-coding RNA is filed under the name Sphingopyxis indica. Lineage: Bacteria; Pseudomonadati; Pseudomonadota; Alphaproteobacteria; Sphingomonadales; Sphingopyxidaceae. The record is from RNAcentral.